UAGGUAGGUGGUCUCAUUUGUCUGGGGUGAAAGCCCAGGGCUUAACCCUGGAAGUGCCCCGGAAACGGUGAGACUGGAGUCCUGGAGAGGGUCGUGGAAUUCCCGGUGUAGCGGUGAAAUGCGUAGAGAUCGGGAGGAACACCAGAGGCGAAGGCGGCGACCUGGACAGGUACUGACACUCAACUACGAAAGCGUGGGGAGCAAACAGGAUUAGAUACCCUGGUAGUCCACGCUGUAAACGAUGGGUACUAGGUUUGGUGGGUCUUGACCCCCGCCGAACCGGCGCUAACGCAAUAAGUACCCCGCCUGGGAAGUACGGUCGCAAGACUAAA
Molecule: ribosomal RNA, 332 nt
Filed under: uncultured bacterium
Lineage: Bacteria
Description: bacterial SSU rRNA
Rfam family: Bacterial small subunit ribosomal RNA
Source: RNAcentral